This 2019-nucleotide long non-coding RNA is filed under the name Hordeum vulgare. Its description in RNAcentral is "long non-coding RNA (HVUL_LNC002228)". Lineage: Eukaryota; Viridiplantae; Streptophyta; Magnoliopsida; Poales; Poaceae. The record is from RNAcentral.
AAUUCUGGAUGGCAUUCGUGACUUCGUAGUUGCUAGCAAUGAUAAUUGAAGAAGUAUUGUCAUCUGAAACAGCAUCAUGCAAAACAAAACAACGAAGGUCAGUGACCAUACUUUGUGAGAGCAUUUAUUCUGUAUAUUAUAAAGAAGCAUUUGUUUUGAAUUAUUAACUCUUGGGCACGAUACAUGUUGGAAUAUUCUCUAAGAAAGGCGUGACACAUUGGCUGCAGGUGCCUAGUACUGGUUUUGACAGCAAAAGAGUUUCAUAUUUGGAGAUCAAUUCAUUUGUCUCUCUCUACCCUCUCUCAUCAACCCUCCAAGAUUCCUGUGUUUUCUCUUGUGCGUGCAUCAUCCAAAGGCACCUUUUAUUAUAUUCCUAUGUUUUGCAAUCUUCUAGGAAUUCUCAAUUCCUAGAGGAUAAUAACGAGGCAUCUAUGUUUUUCUAUUCCUACAUUUUCAAUUCCUCUACGAGGGCAAUUAUUUGUCUACUACAAUGGUAACGAGACAUCAAAGUUUUCGAUUCCCUGCAAUUCAAAGAUCCCCUUACUAGGUGGUGAGGACAUCUAAAAGACUGGAGCUACAAAGCUCAGCGGAGCUAAACCCUGCCUGCUGGAAAUGUUUCAGACAUGAGACCACUAUCAAGACCAUGAACCAAAAUGGAUAGAACAGUAGCAGCGGAAUUGGACAGCAGCUACCUAGAGCGUGAAACGACAGAGAGGAAGAGCAGCAAGGACGUGGGGAGGGUCACACAAUCUGCACGGACAACAUUCUACUAUAUUUGUUUAAACCAUAUAUAUGCAUAUGAGAUUCCGAAAACCAAUCCGAAUUUGGCAAACGGCAGCGGCGUGACCCGAACAAGCUGCAGGACAUUUCGCUGCGGGCAGAGAGCGCAAAAGGUGCGGCAGCGGGUGUUGGGGGAUUACCUUUGACGACGGCGAAUAGGGAGCAGAAGAGCGCGGCGGAGGCGACGGCGAGCAGCAGGAGCAGGCCGGCCCCGCGGCGGCCGACGAGGCGCAGCGCGCGGUGCAGCAGCUGCAGGCGCUCCUUGUCCCCGGCGGCGGCGCCGGCGCGCAGGCCCCAGCCCCUGGCCUUCCUCCCGGCGGGGACGGCGGCCGCCGCGGGCAGGGAGCCGCAGCUCCCCGUGCGCAGCCCCAGCGAGGCGGCGCCGCUCAUCGCCUCCUCCGCCCCUCCUCCGCCUCCCGCAUCCCCGCGAUGGCCAGAUCGCGCGCGGCCCAAUCAGAUCCGCGGAGGGCCGAUGCCUCUUCGUAGCCGCCCGCCCGCCCGCCCGCGGAGGAGCUCGGUCAGAGGGAGGCCACUUAACGCCCUCGCGAUCCUGGUGGGUGGGUGGGGAUUAGGAGCGCGGCGCCGUGGAGGUUGCGGUGGCGGUGGCGGCGGCGGCGAGGGGACGAUGAUCUGCUCCGGGAUUGGUAGGUGCGCGUCGUCCGCGAGCGAGCAUGUGAUCCUCCCUCCCUCCCGAACGGAAGCGCGUCGUGGGCUGGGGAUGGGCAGACCAGACCAGACGAGACGACGGUUCCUCCCUCCUUCCUUCCCAAUCCCACUGCCCCACCAACACUGGUCUCUCUCUCUCUCACUCUCUCGUCGUCGUCGUCGUCGCCUGCGGCCUCGGGCUUGCCGACGGACGGGUGAAUUGAAUUGGGGGCGAGGCGGCGUCGGUGAAACGCCACGCACCGACGUGGACGAGGAUGGAGGGCCGGAUCUGGUCUGGUCUCUGUUGCGUGUCACCGCGCUGGCCUCACCCUCACCUCACCUGACCUGACCUGCCGCCGGUUGAGAAAAUCAUUUUUUUGGGCUAGCGUGGCGGUGGCGGUGGCGCUUGCCAUUUGGCGUAGGAGGAGGUGCUACUUCAACUUUGGCACCCACUCACUCACUGGGAGCACGUGUGGGACGCUUAAUAAUGCAAAAGCGAGAGCGUUCGUUCUGGGCGUGGGAGCGAGCGGGCAAGGCAAGCCAGAGCCAACCAGCCAACGCACGAACCAACGAACCCUUUUUUGAUUGCUUUUU